AGUGAACGCUGGCGGUAGGCCUAACACAUGCAAGUCGAACGGCAGCACAGUAAGAGUUUGCUCUUACGGGUGGCGAGUGGCGGACGGGUGAGGAAUACAUCGGAAUCUACUUUUUCGUGGGGGAUAACGUAGGGAAACUUACGCUAAUACCGCAUACGACCUACGGGUGAAAGCAGGGGAUCUUCGGACCUUGCGCGAUUGAAUGAGCCGAUGUCGGACUAGCUAGUUGGCGGGGUAAAGGCCCACCAAGGCGACGAUCCGUAGCUGGUCUGAGAGGAUGAUCAGCCACACUGGAACUGAGACACGGUCCAGACUCCUACGGGAGGCAGCAGUGGGGAAUAUUGGGCAAUGGGCGCAAGCCUGAUCCAGCCAUACCGCGUGGGUGAAGAAGGCCUUCGGGUUGUAAAGCCCUUUUGUUGGGAAAGAAAAGCAGCAGGUUAAUACCCCGCUGUUCUGACGGUACCCAAAGAAUAAGCACCGGCUAACUUCGUG
RNAcentral lists this ribosomal RNA (492 nucleotides) under uncultured bacterium. RNAcentral's name for it is "partial 16S ribosomal RNA". It matches the Rfam family "Bacterial small subunit ribosomal RNA", at positions 29 to 507 of the family's 1533-position model. The record is from RNAcentral.